This 520-nucleotide ribosomal RNA is filed under the name uncultured Glomus. RNAcentral's name for it is "SSU rRNA". It matches the Rfam family "Eukaryotic small subunit ribosomal RNA", at positions 569 to 1090 of the family's 1831-position model. The record is from RNAcentral. Lineage: Eukaryota; Fungi; Glomeromycota; Glomeromycetes; Glomerales; Glomeraceae.
AGCAGCCGCGGUAAUUCCAGCUCCAAUAGCGUAUAUUAAAGUUGCUGCAGUUAAAAAGCUCGUAGUUGAAUUUCGGGACCGAUAUAUCGGUCGUGCCUCGGUACGUACUGGUAUUUUCGGUUUCUCCCUUCUGACGAACCUUGAUGUCAUUAAUUUGGUGUCUUGGGGAAUCAGGACUGUUACUUUGAAAAAAUUAGAGUGUUUAAAGCAGGCUCACGCUUGAAUACAUUAGCAUGGAAUAAUGAAAUAGGACGUUUGAUUCUAUUUUGUUGAUUUCUAGGAUCGACGUAAUGAUUAAUAGGGAUAGUUGGGGGCAUUAGUAUUCAAUUGUCAGAGGUGAAAUUCUUGGAUUUAUUGAAGACUAACUACUGCGAAAGCAUUUGCCAAGGAUGUUUUCAUUAAUCAAGAACGAAAGUUAGGGGAUCGAAGACGAUCAGAUACCGUCGUAGUCUUAACCAUAAACUAUGCCGACUAGGGAUCGGAUGAUGUUAAUUUUUUUAAUGACUCAUUCGGCGCCUUA